This is a long non-coding RNA of Phascolarctos cinereus (koala), 461 nucleotides long. RefSeq lists it as uncharacterized. The record is from RefSeq and is a predicted model, not a curated record. Lineage: Eukaryota; Metazoa; Chordata; Mammalia; Diprotodontia; Phascolarctidae.
CCUGCAUCCCUUUAUCCCUAGGGGGCAGAGCAGGCUCCUCCCUUUCUGUCCUUGGGAGACCUGGAGGCAGGGUGUGUCUGAGGGUCUCCUGAGAGAGGCCCUGGUGAAAACCCAUUCCUCUUCCCACCCAAAGAGGCCUCUUUCUGGAUCAUCGCCCGCACAUCAAGUGGCUGCCCCUUCUGUGAGCCUAACAGUGCAGAACCAGCACCCCAGGGACUCGUGACUGCCCUCUGUCCAGGUGGAGCCACUUAGAGGAGAGCCCUUCAGGCAGCAAGGCCCAAAUGGAGCAGAGUGGAAGAUCUGCCAGAAUGAGUGCAAAGGUCAAAGGCGAAGGAGGAAAGUCCAGUGCCAAUCAAGAGGGCCUGAAGGUUAACAAAAACACAGACAGACCAACAAACAAAACCCAACCUGGCUGUUUAUCUUCUGUCAAGUUGUAGCACUUUGGAAUCUUUCUGUCUCUU